This 478-nucleotide ribosomal RNA is filed under the name uncultured bacterium. RNAcentral describes it as "partial 16S ribosomal RNA". It matches the Rfam family "Bacterial small subunit ribosomal RNA", at positions 28 to 507 of the family's 1533-position model. The record is from RNAcentral.
GACGAACGCUGGCGGCGUGCUUAACACAUGCAAGUCGAACGGGAUUUAGUAGACAGCAGCCUCGGCUAAAGAUUACUAAUGAGAGUGGCCAACGGGUGAGUCACGCGUGAGCAACCUGCCUAUGACAGUGGGAUAGCCCUGGCAAACCGGGAUUAAUACCGCAUAAAAUCGUAGAAACACAUGUUUCAACGGUCAAAGAUCUAUCGGUCAUGGAUGGGCUCGCGUCUGAUUAGCUAGCUGGUGAGAUAACAGCCCACCAAUGCGACGAUCAGUAGCCGGUCUGAGAGGAUGAACAGCCACAUUGGAACUGAGACACGGUCCAAACUCCUACGGGAGGCAGCAGUGGGGAAUAUUGCACAAUGGGGGAAACCCUGAUGCAGCGACGCCGCGUGAACGAAGAAGGUAUUCGUAUCGUAAAGUUCUGUCCUAUGGGAAGAUAAUGACAGUACCAUAGAAGAAAGCUCCGGCUAAAUACGUG